AUCGAACAAAGGCAAACCCGUUCGAAAGACGGGGACGCAAAGCCACGGGUCUAAGACGCAAGCACUACGUUUGCGGGAUGAUAGCCGGGUUGCCUAU
RNAcentral lists this non-coding RNA (97 nucleotides) under Paenibacillus sp. Its description in RNAcentral is "c-di-GMP sequence". It matches the Rfam family "c-di-GMP-I riboswitch aptamer". From Rfam's summary of the family: GEMM was predicted in a large-scale screen for bacterial structured RNA regulatory elements. Lineage: Bacteria; Bacillati; Bacillota; Bacilli; Caryophanales; Paenibacillaceae. The record is from RNAcentral.